AGGGUUUGAUCAUGGCUCAGAACGAACGCUGGCGGCACGCCUAACACAUGCAAGUCGAGCGCACUCUUCGGAGUGAGCGGCGGACGGGUUAGUAACGCGUGGGAACAUACCCAACACUACGGAAUAGCCUCGGGAAACUGAGAGUAAUACCGUAUACGCCCUUCGGGGGAAAGAUUUAUCGGUGAUGGAUUGGCCCGCGUUAGAUUAGAUAGUUGGUGGGGUAAUGGCCUACCAAGUCUACGAUCUAUAGCUGGUUUGAGAGGAUGAUCAGCAACACUGGGACUGAGACACGGCCCAGACUCCUACGGGAGGCAGCAGUGGGGAAUCUUAGACAAUGGGCGCAAGCCUGAUCUAGCGAUGCCGCGUGAGUGACGAAGGCCUUAGGGUCGUAAAGCUCUUUCGCCAGGGAUGAUAAUGACAGUACCUGGUAAAGAAACCCCGGCUAACUCCGUGCCAGCAGCCGCGGUAAUACGGAGGGGGUUAGCGUUGUUCGGAAUUACUGGGCGUAAAGCGUACGUAGGCGGAUUGGAAAGUAUGGGGUGAUAUCCCAGGGCUCAACCCUGGAACUGCCCUGUAAACUAUCAGUCUAGAGUUCGAGAGAGGUGAGUGGAAUUCCAAGUGUAGAGGUGAAAUUCGUAGAUAUUUGGAGGAACACCAGUGGCGAAGGCGGCUCACUGGCUCGAUACUGACGCUGAGGUACGAAAGUGUGGGGA
Molecule: ribosomal RNA, 713 nt
Filed under: uncultured bacterium
Lineage: Bacteria
Description: bacterial SSU rRNA
Rfam family: Bacterial small subunit ribosomal RNA
Source: RNAcentral